Molecule: ribosomal RNA, 252 nt
Filed under: uncultured bacterium
Lineage: Bacteria
Description: partial 16S ribosomal RNA
Rfam family: Bacterial small subunit ribosomal RNA
Source: RNAcentral
UACGUAGGGGGCUAGCGUUGUCCGGAAUCACUGGGCGUAAAGGGUUCGCAGGCGGAAAUGCAAGUCAGAUGUAAAAGGCAGUAGCUUAACUACUGUACGCAUUUGAAACUGCAUAUCUUGAGAAGAGUAGAGGGAAGUGGAAUUUUUAGUGUAGCGGUGAAAUGCGUAGAUAUUAAAAAGAAUACCGGUGGCGAAGGCGACGUUCUGGCCAGUAUCUGACACUGAGGCACGAAAGCGUGGGUAGCAAACAGG